CCUACGGGUGGCAGCAGUGAGGAAUAUUGGUCAAUGGUCGCGACACUGAACCAGCCAAGCCGCGUGAAGGAUGACGGUACAGAGUAUCGUAAACCUCUUUUGUCCGGGGACAAACUCAGGCACGUGUCGCCUGUUGCGUGUACCUGAUGAAAAAGCAUCGGCUAACUCCGUGCCAGCAGCCGCGGUAAUACGGAGGAUUCGGGCGUUAUCCGGAUUUAUUGGGUUUAAAGGGUGCGCAGGCCGGCCUUUAAGCCCGUUGUGAAAUCCCGGGGCUCAACCCCGGCACUGCCGUGGAAAUUGGCAGUCUUGAGUGGGAGGGAGGUAUGCGGAAUGCGCGGUGUAGCGGUGAAAUGCAUAGAUAUCGCGCAGAACUCCGAUUGCGAAGGCAGCAUGCCGUCGCCACACUGACGCUGAGGCACGAAAGCGUGGGUAUCGAACAGGAUUAGAUACCCGGGUAGUC
This 460-nucleotide ribosomal RNA is filed under the name uncultured bacterium. RNAcentral describes it as "partial 16S ribosomal RNA". It matches the Rfam family "Bacterial small subunit ribosomal RNA", at positions 338 to 795 of the family's 1533-position model. The record is from RNAcentral.